UUUUUUUUAUAAAAACAAAUUUCCCUCAUCUUCUUCUUCACACCGUGCACCCCUUGAGAAAACCCUAGCCGCCGACACCCAGCGCCGUUUUCUGUCGAACCCGACGCCGACAAGCAGUCGGCGAUCCGAAGUUUCCUCAGCGCGCCAGCCGGUCAGAGUAGUAUCCGUCCUUUUAUGCCGAGAGCCGAGAGCCCAGAUCUGAAGGUGUCUUCGUCCACUACGUUCUGCCGAGAGCCGCUCGUCCAACUUCUCCAGAUCGUCCAGCCGAUCUCCUCUGCACGUCGCUCGUUCGGUCGGUCUCCUCUGUCGUUCACCUAGUGCCGACCGUACGCGAGCAUCGCUUCAAGUUGCAACGCCACUCUAGCCCAACGUCCGCCACCCCAGCCGCAUCGCUGUCGGUUGUCGUCCCCCUGCUGCGUCGGGUCCGCUUGGUCUUCGUCAGAUAUGUUGGGUUUAAGUCGUCAAGGAGUUUGGAAGUCAAAGGAGGCACCGAGUGGAAGUGGUUUUCAUUUUUUGAGGCCGCUACUUUGGAUUGUCGUUAUAGUUUGUGGUCUAAUUUUUAUCUAUGGAGUAUCGACUCGAGGUAAGUAAUCUUACUACUGGAACUGGCCCCAUGAUGAACGGAUAGUUUAGUAUAAUCGUGGUACGUUCUUGCUUGAGGAUAUGAAAGAUGUAUUUGUACACUUGGAUACUUGAAUGCUAGCAUGAGAUGAUAUUUGAUUCCAUGAGGUUGUAUGUGAUAUGUGGAUAUUGAGGCAUGUGUGUUUGUUAUAGAGCUAUGACGUUGAAGCAUAUGUGUAUGUCAUAGAGCUAUAUUGUGAUAAUUAUGGUGUCGAGCAUAUGAUAGUACUGAUUAGUUGGAAUGCCCACUAGGUUUGUGUUUCCUUCGGGAUUCAAUUAUUGUGUUCCCUCGGGUUUCAUCAAUUUGUGUUUCCUUCGGGAUUCACCAGUGAUUGUGUUUCUUUCGAGAUUCACCUUCCCUUCGGGAUUCACCAGUUAUUGUAUUUCAUUCGGGUUUGGGAUUCACCAGUUAUUGUGUUUCCUUCGGGUUUCACCAAUUUGUGUUUCCUUCGGGAUUCACCAGUGAUUGUGUUUCCUUCGAGAUUCACCAGUUUGUGUUUCCUUUGGGAUUCACCAGUUAUUGUAUUUCCUUUGGGAUUCACCAGAGGUAGUGGGUAUAUUUAAUUACAGUAAGAUAGAAAUCAAUUUCUUUUUCAUGUAUGUAUGUGUCUCAUGAGGACUAGAACAGUUUAUAUGUUCCACUAGAGGUAGGUGUCUAGAGGACAUAGAUGUCUAACCUGAUCCCAGUAGUGGGGUUACUUAGUAUUUAUACUCAUUCUUUUUCAUGUUGUUGUUUGUAAAGAUGCACUGAUGAUGGACAAGCGGAAUUCGUGAUCGAGCCACUGGGACUAGUUUCAUGCUUCCGCUCAUGAGAUUUAAACUUAUUUUCAUGUUUUUCUCAGCUUUAAGUGUUGAUGUCUAAAACUUACUAUUAAAAAUCGCUUUCAGAUUUAUUUAUGAUCAUUUAUGAUUUAUGGGUACCCUACUGUUGUUUUUUUUUUUUAAUAUUUGAAAUUAAAUGCAAAGUCUUUUAAAUACACCUUAUUUAAUUAGCAUUUAUUUCACCAUAACAGAGUGUCGUUUUAAGUUCCAUGCAUGCAUGUUUUUAGUAACAGCCUAACUUAAGUCCUAGGGGAGGGGGUCGGAUCGUUACAGUGUUUGCUUUGUUUCACAUUAUGGUCUCUACAGUUCGUGCUGUGCUGCGGGUUGAUUUUUUUGGUCUUAUCUAGUGCGUUUACGGGUGUUUUUUCUCUUUUUGUUCUUGUCGAUGUUCUUUGUUUUACUGUUGACCAUAGGUUGUGGGGUUUUGUUUCCUUUUCGUUGUUUUUCUCCUAGGUGGAUGGUGUUGUUUGCAUUUGUUUCGUUCGAGUCCCGUUUUUGUUUGUGCUUUGUUGCUUUGAUGCCUUGAUCCCGGGUUGUGGGAUCCCCUUAUUGUUGUAUAAUAAUAUCACCUAUUCUAAAAAAAUAGUAAAUGAAAGAUAUUUAACUUUCAGA
Benincasa hispida (wax gourd) is the source of this 2055-nucleotide long non-coding RNA. RefSeq lists it as uncharacterized. Lineage: Eukaryota; Viridiplantae; Streptophyta; Magnoliopsida; Cucurbitales; Cucurbitaceae. The record is from RefSeq and is a predicted model, not a curated record.